UACGUAGGGGGCAAGCGUUGUCCGGAUUUAUUGGGCGUAAAGAGCGUGUAGGCGGCCUUACAGGUCAGCUGUGAAAACUCGAGGCUCAACCUCGAGACGUCGGUUGAAACCGUAUGGCUAGAGUCCGGAAGAGGAGAGUGGAAUUCCUGGUGUAGCGUUGAAAUGCGCAGAUAUCAGGAAGAACACCCGUGGCGAAGGCGGCUCUCUGGGACGGUACUGACGCUGAGACGCGAAAGCGUGGGGAGCGAACAGG
RNAcentral lists this ribosomal RNA (253 nucleotides) under uncultured bacterium. Its description in RNAcentral is "partial 16S ribosomal RNA". It matches the Rfam family "Bacterial small subunit ribosomal RNA", at positions 524 to 776 of the family's 1533-position model. The record is from RNAcentral.